AGUUAUUCAACGGCCGCGGUAUCCUAACCGUGCAAAGGUAGCGAAAUCACUUGUCUUCUAAAUAAAGACCAGUAUGAACGGCUAAAUGAGAAUGGACCUGUCUCUUAUACCCAACCGGUGAAACUGAUCUCUCAGUACAAAAGCUGAGAUAUUCCCAUAAGACGAGAAGACCCUGUGGAGCUUCAAACCUACGUUACCAAGCACAUUAAAACAAGCCACUAACUAUAGGUUUUUAGUUGGGGCAACUUUGGAACAUAAAAAAACUUCCAAGCACAGAACCACAAGUUCUUACCAAGGCCAACAAGCCAAAUAUAAACAUGACCCAGUACUACUGAUAAACGAACCAAGUUACCCCAGGGAUAACAGCGCUAUCUUCUUCAAGAGUCCAUAUCGACAAGAAGGUUUACGACCUCGAUGUUGGAUCAGGGCACCCAAAUGGUGCAGCCGCUAUUAAAGGUUCGUUUGUUCAACGAUUAAAGCCCUACGUGAU
This 490-nucleotide ribosomal RNA is filed under the name Typhlacontias rohani (Rohan's blind dart skink). Its description in RNAcentral is "partial large subunit ribosomal RNA". It matches the Rfam family "Bacterial large subunit ribosomal RNA", at positions 1918 to 2604 of the family's 2925-position model. The record is from RNAcentral. Lineage: Eukaryota; Metazoa; Chordata; Lepidosauria; Squamata; Scincidae.